RNAcentral lists this ribosomal RNA (466 nucleotides) under uncultured Entrophospora. RNAcentral describes it as "eukaryotic LSU rRNA". It matches the Rfam family "Eukaryotic large subunit ribosomal RNA", at positions 288 to 633 of the family's 3401-position model. The record is from RNAcentral. Lineage: Eukaryota; Fungi; Glomeromycota; Glomeromycetes; Entrophosporales; Entrophosporaceae.
CCAAAUGGGUGGUAAACAUCACCUAAGGCUAAAUAUUGGCGAGAGACCGAUAGCGAACAAGUACCGUGAGGGAGAGAUGAAAAGAACUUUGAAAAGAGAGUUAAACAGUACGUGAAAUUGUUGAAAGGGAAACGAUUGAAGUCAGUCGUGCUGGCGCGAAAUCAACCCUCUCAUCGGGAGACCCAUGUUGUGGCGAGCCUCAAAACCGCCACAGCAUGUGUCUCACGAUGAGGGGGAGCACUUUCGUGUCUGCUGGUUAACAUCAAUUUCGAACGUCAUAAAAAGGCUGGAGGGAUGUGGCUCCUUCGGGAGUGUUAUAACCUUUAGCGGAAUGUGGUGGUCGGGAUUGAGGAUUGCAACGAAUACCUUUAGGGCUGUUCCACCUGGCUUCUCUUUGGUAUCCUGGUGACGACAGCUUGCUGACUUUGUUAGGAUUCGCCUUUGAACAGGCUAGAGUGUGAGCAAA